Acanthosepion pharaonis is the source of this 113-nucleotide non-coding RNA. Lineage: Eukaryota; Metazoa; Mollusca; Cephalopoda; Sepiida; Sepiidae. The record is from the annotation of a GenBank genome assembly.
UACAGUCACACCACGUUGAAACCCUGGUUCUCGUACAAUUACAGAAGUUAAGCAACGUUGAGCCUGGUCAGUACCUAGGUGGGUGACUGCUUAGGAAUACCAGGUGCUGUAAG